CUAAAGACUAAGCCAUGCAUGCCUUCGAAUAAGAGGAAGCAAUUCUCUCUGAAUCUGCGAACGGCUCCGCAAACCAGUUGUAAACCAUCGCAAGCAAGCCCAGGGGGAUGGCCUUAAACAAGCCGGCCCCUUGGGCUACAUGGAUAACCGUGGUAAUUCUGAGGCUAAUACAUGAUCGUAAUCCUUGGGCGGGAGGGCCUCCUGGCUUAGGCCGGGAGGUAAACCCUUCGCUCGAGGGGCGUGUGAUUGUGGCUUGGGUUUUUACCGGGAAGGGGUGCACGUCCAGACCGCUAUUAAAAAGGAAUCAGGACCGCUUGGGUCCUUGCUCUCGGGCAAGGUCCCCCAGGCGCGGACUGGCUCCAGCGGCUCUUGCUGUGUGCUUCUGACCUAUCAACUAGAUGGCAGCAUAACGGACAUGCUUUGGUUACAACGGGUACAGAGGAUUAGGGUUCGAUCCUGGAGAGUGGGCCUGAGAGAUUGCUCAUACUUCUAAGGAAGGCAGCAGGCGCGCAACGUUCCCCUUGGGCAAUGCUCGAGGGCGUUAGGGGACAUAUGAAUGCCUGCCCAUUGGGUGGGCAAUUCAAAUGGGUCUGUUCUAAACAGGCUCUCGAGUAACAAU
Molecule: ribosomal RNA, 619 nt
Filed under: Lamproderma columbinum
Lineage: Eukaryota; Evosea; Eumycetozoa; Stemonitida; Stemonitidae
Description: SSU rRNA
Rfam family: Eukaryotic small subunit ribosomal RNA
Source: RNAcentral